AACUAACCAGGAUUCCCCUAGUAACGGCGAGUGAAGAGGGAAGAGCCCAGCACCGAAGCCUGUGGUCAUUUGAUCAUUAGGCAAUGUGGUGUUUAGGUUUGCUCUGCGAGUAUACUGCUCUGCUCUAAGUCCAGUUAUGAAAACGGUUCAUGGACAUAGCCCAUAGAGGGUGAAAGGCCCGUAUGAGCGGAGAGGUUGGCAGUAUACUCCGGAGCUUACCUUGGAGUCGGGUUGUUUGAGAAUGCAGCCCAAAGUGGGUGGUAAACUCCAUCCAAGGCUCAAUACUGGCACGAGUCCGAUAGCGAACAAGUACCGUGAGGGAAAGUUGAAAAGUACUCUGAAGAGAGAGUAAACAGUACGUGAAACCGCGCAAAGGUAAACGGGAAGAGUUGAACUGCAAGCUUGAAAGAUUCAGCUGGUUCAGUUGGUUGGCUGGCAUUGAAGCUCGCUUGAACAGCGGGUCAUUGGUCUUCGGAUCUUUGGCUGGUGUUCUCUUGACAUGUUGAGCCUGCGUUCUUUGCUUUCUGCUGCUGGGCCAGUGCACUUCUUUCAGGUCUUCAUCACGACCGGCGCUGCUGUCUGUCUGCUGUAGCUUAACCAGUGGAGCUCGGGCCUUGUGUCUUUGUUCUGCUGGGACGGCAGGUAGCUUGUUGAGUACAUGCUAUUCUUUGAGUGUAAUAGCUAGCUACAGUGUGAUCUGUGCAGUGCGUCGGAGAUUGCGGUUGUUAAAAUGGGUGGCGUGAAUGCUGGCCGUUGGUUCGAUUGCGGGCAUGACUGCCUUGACGGUGGUUGUUCGUAGUUGGCUACGGUUGGUUCUUUGCGUUGCUUGCUAUCAAUGGCCGACAGUCUGUGAUGUAGUGGUAUGCUCUCUUCCCGACCCGUCUUGAAACACGGACCAAGGAGUUUAACAUGUGCGCGAGUCAUUGGGUUCUACGAAACCUACAGGCGCAAUGAAAGUAAAGGUCUGGCUUGUCUGGACUAAGGUGAGAUCCGGUCGUUUCUGCUUGCUUCUUUUCGAAGGAGCUUGUGGUACGGUUGGCGCAUCACCGGCCCGUCCCAUGGUGUGGUUAUAGCUCCUUGUGGGUUGUGCAUCACCGGGGUGGAGCAUGAGCGUACAUGUUGAGACCCGAAAGAUGGUGAACUAUGCUUGUGUAGGUCGAGCCAGAGGAAACUCUGGUGGAGGACCGUAGCGAUUCUGACGUGCAAAUCGAUCGUCAAACAUGAGCAUAGGGGCGAAAGAC
Molecule: ribosomal RNA, 1241 nt
Filed under: Plerurus digitatus
Lineage: Eukaryota; Metazoa; Platyhelminthes; Trematoda; Azygiida; Hemiuridae
Description: eukaryotic LSU rRNA
Rfam family: Eukaryotic large subunit ribosomal RNA
Source: RNAcentral